This 254-nucleotide ribosomal RNA is filed under the name uncultured prokaryote. RNAcentral's name for it is "partial 16S ribosomal RNA". It matches the Rfam family "Bacterial small subunit ribosomal RNA", at positions 521 to 774 of the family's 1533-position model. The record is from RNAcentral.
UAAGACGAACCGAGCGAACGUUGUUCGGAAUCACUGGGCUUAAAGGGCGCGUAGGCGGGCAUCAUAGUCUGUGGUGAAAUCCGGCAGCUUAACUGUCGAAUUGCCAUGGAUACUGGGUGUCUCGAGGGAGGCAGGGGUGCGCGGAACUGAUGGUGGAGCGGUGAAAUGCGUUGAUAUCAUCAGGAACUCCGGUGGCGAAGGCGGCGCACUGGUCCUUUUCUGACGCUGAGGCGCGAAAGCCAGGGGAACAAACG